Molecule: ribosomal RNA, 253 nt
Filed under: uncultured bacterium
Lineage: Bacteria
Description: partial 16S ribosomal RNA
Rfam family: Bacterial small subunit ribosomal RNA
Source: RNAcentral
UACGUAGGGUGCGAGCGUUGUCCGGAAUUAUUGGGCGUAAAGAGCUCGUAGGCGGUUUGUUGCGUCGGCGGUGAAAACUUGGGGCUUAACCCCGAGCCUGCGGUCGAUACGGGCAGACUUGAGUUCGGCAGGGGAGACUGGAAUUCCUGGUGUAGCAGUGAAAUGCGUAGAUAUCAGGAGGAAUACCGAUGGCGAAGGCAGGUCGCUGGGCUGACACUGACGCUCAUGCACGAAAGCGUGGGGAGCAAACAGG